GCUUCCUAGACAGUGCUCAGAGGUCAGCAGUCUUCCUGUGCCAGUUGUUCGCAGUCUGUGGCACCUUGGGCAAGUGACUUGGCCAUUUGUGCUCUUGUUUGUUCUUUUUCUUCAUUCACCCUGAAAUGAAGGCGGUAACAGUGCAGGAGCCACAGAGGUGCUGGGAGUUCGGACAGGAGAAGGGUUUAGAGUGUGCCGAGGGCAGGGGACCGUGAGGACGCAGGCUGGCUCUCAGUGUUGUCCGGACCGCGGAGGACAUGGCCACCCAGGCCUCCCUGGCCUCGGGGAGGAGCUUGGAGGGCACUGGGAAUCCUUUCUGGUAUGAAUUACCAGAAAAAACACAAGGAAACAUAAAAAUUACACUUGCAAGUCCCCCUCUAAGGCCCUUCUACCCAUCUCAACCUGUCCUUCAAAACCUGCUUCUCGAGAUUAAACCAUUAAUAAUCUAAAUUGCAUCCUUUAAACCUUUUAUGUGCAGUAUUUCAAUAACCGAAACAAAUACACAAACUACCAUUUUGGUAUAAAAAGGAAGAAAAGAAAAUUAUAUAAUAUUACCCACACUGUUCUGCAACCUGAUUUUUUCCACCUAUGCGGUGUUGUGGAAAUCUUCCCACAUCCAUGCCCCGUGGUUUCCCCUGCUGCAGAGCAUCCUGGGGCAGGGAUGGGCCAUCUUUCCUUUUAACUGUCUGUCCAGAAAUUGACAGGAGAGUGGUUUCCCUCAUUGCUUUCGUUAACAAUGCGCCUUUGUCCUCACACCCACUGUCCCCUGAGGCUAAAUCCCCCACACCACCGGAGCGGCAGAGGGAGGGGGAAUGUGCAUUUGAGAGGGUGGUGGAUGACGUGCUUUUGCGGGCUGUCCAUGCAAAGUCCUGUGUGUGUACCCGUGGUCCAGGGAGCGGGGGAACCAGGUUGGGUGGAACGCAGUGACCUGGACCAUCACUUGCAGGGUGGCCGGGGUCACUUUAUUGUGCCUUUGCCUCCUUCACGCGGGCCACAGUGCUACCAGCAGUCCUAUUGAAUCUCCCAGCCCAUUCGUUUCCAUUUGCUGCUGGACAGCCUGUCAGCACCUUUGCUUUUCUUUGGAGCCUCCACCCCCACUCAGUGGAUGACGUCACUUCCUGUCUCACUGAGCACAGAAGCAGCAGAGAGACGAUGAAGUCUACCCCACCACACUGCUCGCCUGUCUGCACUGGGCCUGAGUCCUCUGCCUCCUUCCUAGGCUGAGGCCGCCCCUUCUCUCCAUACAAUGGAAUCUUUAAAAAUGUAUACAACUGAGAUACAAUGUGCACCCACAAAAGUGUACAAGUUAGCAUAUGUAACCUUCAGCAAUCCCUAAUUCCAGAACAUUUUCAUUACCCUAUGCCUGUCAGUAAUCAUCUCCUGUUUUCCCUCCUGGCGAUCACUAAUCAGUCUCCCCCACCCCCAUACACCUUUCUGGAAUUCCAUACAAAUGCAAUCACACUCAAGAUCUUUUGUGACCCACUUUUUUCACUUGGAACAUUGUUCUUAAGACUCAUCCCUGUUGUAGCUCAAAUCAGAACUUACAUCCUUUUGAUGGCUGAAUAAUAUUCCAUUGUAUGGGUAUACAACACUUUAAAAUCCAUUGGUAGAUGGAUAUUUGGAUGGUUUCCACUUUGGAGGUAUUAUAAAUAAUAUCAUAAAGAGCAUUUGUGUACAAGUUUUGUUACCAAACCAGGUUUGUUUUGCCUGCGGCACAGGCAAAUGACUGAAACUAUGAAGAGAAAGAAUUUUAUUAUGAGGCAGCUAAGCACGAGGAGAUGGAGCCCAAGUCUCAAAUCCCUCCCUGAUUUGGAACUUGGGGAUGUUUAUAGGCUGAGGUAUGGGGCAAGGUGAAUGGCUGACCUACACGGCUGCUGUUAUCUAGAGUCAACUAAAGGCAAGUAACUAAGAGCAAGUGAAAUGGGUUAAAUCUAGGGAAGCAGGGGACUAAGAGGUGGGAAUGACUCAGGUGGUUUAUUCAGGUUUUCCCUCAGCUUUAGUUUUUGUGUGGAUGUCUGUUUUUAUUUCUCUUGUUCUAAUCUGAGGAGUGAGAUUACUAGGUAGGCCCUAUGGUUCUCCGUGUUUAAUUCUUUGAGGAACUGCUACACUGUUCUCUGAGUGACUGGCCCCUUUGACAUUUCCAACAGAGGGCACAAGCAUUCCAGUCUUUCCUUAUCCUCACCAGCACUUAUUAUUAUCCGCCUUUCUAAUUGCAGCCUCCGCAGUGGCCAGCAGCAUCUCAUGAGAAGUGCAGACCCAUCUCCUCCCCUGCUUGAGCUUGGAGAUCUCAUUUUUCUCUCACAUCUACUUCAACAUAUUUUCCUCUUUCUCCCUCACCCACCCAUUGGCAAGCAGACAGGCUCUUACUUUCCCUACCUUAAAAAAAAUGCAAACAAAAGAGACUUAUCUUAGUUGAGCUGCUCCUCGGCUACCUCCCCAUCUCCUUUUGAUAGCAAAACUUCACAAAAGAGUUUUCCCAACUUUCCAUAUUCUCUUCCUUCAUCUUACUUGAACUUAUUGUUGUCAGGCUUCUGUCCCACGCUGGCACCAAAACUUUUCAAGAUCGCAAGUGACCUCCACGCUACUGACACUGGGAGGCUUUUCACUGGGCAGUGGUAAUCGCUUCCUUCCCUUCUCUGACCUGGGCUCCAGGCGAUCUCCUCCUUGGUCCCUCCCCUUUGAGGGUCCUCCUGCUGACUCUUCUUUGCUGUUCCUCCAUGUCUUCUUGACUUUGUGAUGUUAGAGGGCUCGGGGGCUGUCCAUGUUCCCACAGGGUCUCGGGGAUCUCCUAAGUUCCUAUGACUUGGAGGUCACCCAGUGCCAAUGACCCUCGGACUGUGGCUCCAGGUCAGGCCUCUGCGCUGAGCUGCAGACUCUGCUGUCCUUGAGUGUCUGAAGGGCAACUCUGAGCUGGUGGCAGUCCUGAUUUCUCCCUUAGAGUCCACCAUGUGGCGUCUCAGCGGACAGUAGCACAUACUUCUGCAGCAAGGCCUCGUUGUGCUCCUUGACUCCAGUCCCACUUUCACACCCAAAAAGCCUGGUCUCGUCUCACCCAAGGGCUGAGCCACCUUCCUGAUCAGCUUGGAGGCUGCAGUGCCUCCUAAAUGGUACCCCCACUUCUGCCUCCUAGAUGGUACCCCCACAGUGCGCUCUCCACACAGAGCCUUUUAAGAUGCGAGCCAGUAGUGCUGUCCUCUGCUCGGGCCCUGGUGGCGAAGCCCCUUUUCACUGAGGCGAAGCCCUUGAGAUGGGCCUGAGGUCAUCCUGCAGGGCGUGGCCUCACCCCUAUCCCUUGUCACCCUCCACGUGGUCCUCACUGGCCCUGGCUGGCCCCCAACCUACCAGGCAGGACUCAGGCCUCUGAACUCGCUGCUCCCACUGCCUGGGGUGACUUAGCUCAAAUCUGCAUGACUUUGUCCUCAUCACUUUCUCCCCUCUAGACUUCUCAGAUGGCACUGCCUAGGUGAGGCUGUGUUUGGCCCAUGUGUGAAGUCGCAGGCGGGGCCCUUUCCCCUUCCUGCUUCAUUUUUCUCCUUGCUGCCUAUGCACUGUGUACUGCACUCACUGGCCCUGUCUGCUCCCUGUUUCCCUAGGGCAAGCUCCAUAGGGGCAGGGUGGGGCUUUCUGUCUGUUCUGUCACUGUUGGGUGCACAGCCCCUCUAAUCCUGCCUGCUGUACAGUGGGUGUGGAAUAAAUGUUUGCUGCAUUGGAUGUAGCUCACUGUCAGACCGCUUGCCUCACAUCUGCAAGGCCCUCUGUUGGGCUCUAAAAACAAACAAGCCCCCAAACACGGGCUAGGUAUGUAGCCCAGUGGCAGAGUGCUUGCUUAGCAUGUGCAAGGUUUGAGUUCAAUACCGAGCACUGCAAAAUGAUACAAGGAAUCUGGUGUGGUGAUGUAUGCCUGUAAUCCCAGCAUCUGGGAGGCUGAGACAGGAGGAUCACAAAUUUUAGGCCAGCUGGAGAAACUUAGGGAGAUCCUGCCUCGAAAUAAAAUAAAGGGAUGUAGCCCAGCGCUCCCGGAUACAAUAUCCUGUACUACAAAAGCCCCAAAUAAAACCAAACAGCAGAGACAACAACAACAACAACACCCUCCAAGCCAAAUCAAACCAAACCAAACCAAACCAAAUACCCCAAAUCAGAAUCACACAAAACCCCUGAAAUAACAGCAGAGCCUAAUCAGUGACAACAGCCCCAAGUCUGACGCCGGCUUUGCACAAUGAAGCGGCCCCCAUGCUAUGCUACAGAUGACCAGCAGAUGGCACUGUGACUACAGAAAUGUCGGGCGCUUGGCUCCCCUCUGCUGUUCUCAGAAAUCCACCCUGCUUCAGAGGUGAGCUGCUAGGAUGUGCGUGUGACAGCGUACAUGCCUCCCGGGUCAGCCUACUGCCGGUUUCUCAUCUCCUGGCAGGACUCCAGAGAACCUGCCAUUACUUCUGGGCUGGUGAGGGGUCCAUGUGACCGUGGUGCCUGGAUCAGGGAGCCAGCCUUUGGAACUGUUCAUGGAGCCCUGGGACAGCCACCUCUGCUCUCAGCCAUGGGUCCUGCCCUGCCAGCCAACCCAGAGCAGCCUGGGCCCUGUGCCUGGGUGUGCCUGUGGUGGGGGUCCUUCACCCCCUCCUCAGGUGGUGGGGAAUACUGAGAACCCUCCCUUUGGUUCCCUGUGCUUCCUGCUGUCAGCGUGUGGAGGAACAGGCAAAGAGUUGGAGCCCAGACCAGAGCCCAUUCCUGGCUCUGCCACUGGCCAGGGGGGUGACCUGGCCAAGUACUGAGUCUGACAGUUUGUCAUCUGGCCGAUGGGAGAGACUGCCCCAAAAUUGUGGGCUGGUGAGGUGCUCCUCCCAUCUCGUGCUGGGCCAGCAUGGAGAGGUGCCUGAGGGAGUGCAGGUCCCCACAGUGGCUGGGAGCAGAGAUGGGGCCAGAGCUGUCCUUUGAUCGUCUGCUCACUCAAACAUCUGUGAGAUGUGUACCCUACAUAUCCAGUGCUAUGCAGGGUUUGGGGGCAGUGGGGACCAGGGACUUUGCUCCUGCAUUAAAGAAGCUAUGAACUGAUGGAAGAGACACGACUAAAUCUACACGAAACAAAGUUAGAUAGUAAAUAUAAGACAAUGUACAAGAGAUGUCAGCAGGAUUCAUGGUGAAUGGCCCAGUAGAAAUGCUGGGAGUGACCAGAGGGGCGUGUGGGCCCGGGGUGGUCAUGGCAGGCUUUGGGGAGGAGAGGCUGUGCCUGUGAGAGCCAGCCUGUAAGGACGCCAGCUGUAACCCCAUGCCUCCACCCCACCCCAUCGGCACCCAUGGACCAGUCCUGGGCUAGAUUCCAAAAGCUGCUCCUGAUGAAUCCAUGGCUCAGGGUGGAAAAGAGAGACCAGCUGGAGGCGUUCCGCUGCCUGCCCGCCUGCGGUGCUGUCUAGAAUCAACUGAGGCCACUUGGAGUCUGACAUGGUCCUUGCCCAGGGAAUGUUUCCAAAGAUGGUUCUGUGUCCAUGGAGAUAGGGCAGAGCACCAGCCAAGGACACUCUGGUCCCACUGGGGAUGGUGGGUGGGGAGGUGCUGGUACCAUCAGAUGGCUGUUCCUCCCCCAGGGGGUCAGGGUACUUUAGAACCCGGAGCUGAUGCCCUCCUUCAGGACCCAAGGGAUGGGAGUGUGAUAGGAGUCAUCACCCUCAUCCUAAUGUCACCUUUAGGAAACCUGAAACUGCCCUAAGACGUGAAAGCCACUGUAGCCAGUGGUAAAAUACACAAGAGGUUGUGAGCGCCAUCUCCUGGUGAGACUCUGCUGCCACCUCCAAGAAACCUGCGGCCUCUUUCUCAUUCUCUGGAGUCAAAAGGUCUCUGGAGGUUACCGUGGGAUGAGUGUGGGGGAAGGCGGAGGUGGCAAAAGCUUCAUCUGACUCUUCCUCUUUUCAGAAUCUGAGGCCACCACCCUGUCCACAUCAGAGUGUGCCCAGUGUGGCCAACUCUCUAUGCGCAUUCUAGGUCUGGGGUCUCCAUCCUUCUCCCCAUCCUCUCCUCUUAUCCUGGCUCUCUCAGGCUCCUUGAAGAGUUUCAGGCUGCAGGAAAGGACCGGGGAGCCAAGGCACUCCCUUGGCCUUGCUUACCCCUGGAGCGCCUGGCCUCUGCGGCCUCCAUUUGUCAGGGAAGCUGCCCUGUUGGGCCGUCCCCUCCCAGGCUCUAGGCAGUGGUGCAGGAAGUCCCAGAGCACUGGCUGCCUCUCCCUCCCUGCCUGGGCUCAGUGCUGCUGCCCCACUCACAGCCUUGCCCAGCUGCCCGCCUGGCACAGAGCACGGCUGCCUGCUCUUCUAGGUUAGGUCCUUGGGCAGGGACAGUCUGUCUGCUCCACCACACCCCUCCCCCCGGUGUGGCGUGAAGCACACACACUCACUUAGAUUAAUUAAUCUGCUGCCCAGCCUGCUCCUCUGACUUAUCUUUUAUUCAUGGACAAGCAGCGUUCUCCGCUUUACCAGGAUGCAGGCAUCAAUAUUUCAUCUUGCUCGGCCUGCCAGCACCUGUCUCCCUCCCUCCUGCUUCCCACUGGCUCUAGGACCCAGAGGGCUGGGUGUGCUGGCCACCUGCAGCCACAGGAUGCAGGGCUGCUUCCACGGGCCCCUGACCUGUCCUCUGGGCCAUCCCUCUGACAGAGCGGGCGACCAGGCACCUUUCUGAACCAGAUGUCCUGCUCACUUUUUGUCCAUGCACCUGAAUGCUGGAAGAAAGGAAGUGACAGCAGUGGUCAGGACCGGGGACAUCUCGUCCUUCUCAUCCCACUCACCUGCAGACCCUCAGGCCUCCCUUCUGUGCUCAGGACCCUGAGGGCUGAACUGAACAUCUGGAGGGGCGUCUGGGGCUUGGGGGCCUCCUGAAGGGCACCAGGCCCUGAAACGCCAAAUCAUGUGCUGGAUGUGCUCUGUCACCAGCCCGCUGUCUCCUGAUUAUUCCUCCACCAGGCCUUGUCCAGCCAGGUUGGACUUGCUGUUCUCUUUCCCAGUGGUGUGCAUCUCUCUUCCUCCGAGGCCUCCACCCUUCUCAGAGCCUGCCCGCAGUACUAAUGACUCCUUCCCCAUGUCAGCCACAGCCACUCAGUUCCAAGCAGGGGAGGUAGUGUCUUUCUUCUCUGCUGGCCUUGACACAGCCCUGGAUACCCAGAGGAACUUCAUCAUAUAGAUUCGCUAUUAUUAGAACCCAUGUUUAGGCCAUGGGUUCUCAAACAUAAGCAUGUAUCAGAAUUGACUGGUGGGCUUGUUAAAACCCAAAUUACUGGCCUCAUUCCCAGCUUCUGACUUGAUAAAUAAGGGACUGGGGCCUGAGAGUUUUCAUUUCUAACAAGUUCUUGGGUGAUGCUGAUGUUGCUGUCUUGGGAUCACACUUUGAGAACCACCACUGUUCUCAGCAAAAACUGCACUUGCCCUUCUAGUCUAAGGGGGCAGAAGAGGAAAGCUGGUCUCAGUGGGGAGAUGGAAGAUGGGGUCAACACUUCAGACUCCUGGAAGUAACUCCCACACUGUCUCAGCAAUAUUCUCGACCUGGGCAGCAACAUUCAAGUUUAAUAUGCAUGGAGCGACGAGAGGAAGGGAGCCAAGGAGGGCGGAGCUGGGGAGGAGGCUGCAUAUUUCAUGCCGUUCCUGGCUUUGGAGGUCCUAGGGAGGCAGGCGUGUGGCAGCUGGUGACAACCUCAUUGUAAUAAGGGAUGGGGAGAGAUGCACCCUGCCAGGGCUCCAUGGGGGGCUGGAGGGAUGGGCCUGGGCAGGGUGAAGAGGGGGAAGGGAAGGCAGGCUGGGUGUGGAUGGGAGAUGGGGAGUAGCCAUGAUGGGACCUCCUGUCACUUCAUCCCCUUCUCCCCAGCAUCAGGGGUGGUGGGGAGAUUCCUGCAGGCCUGCAGAUUUCCUCAUUCUAUAUCCAAGGGCCUGCCUCUGACCCUAAGGGCACUUCGGAGACAUCCUUCCUUCCCCAAGAAGUAUCUCAAUACGUGCAGAAGUGUGAAGCAGAGCUCUGGUGGCAUCAGGAGCUUCUAAGUUGCAAGAGAACAGUCGCACGUCUGCGUCCACUUGCUCCUUCGUGCUCCAUUUCCCACACAAUCUGCUUCCAGUGAGGCCAAGGCCAAGGCCAUUUCUAAAAGGCUUAUGAUGGAGGAUUUGGGUGGAAUCUCUGAACCUUUAAAAAAAGCCCCCCCCUUCUCUUAGUUUGAGGUCCAUGGGCCCAACCACAGCACAGCCCUGAUGUGUGAAUUUAGCAUCCAAGACCCACAGCGAGGGAGAGGGAAGGAGGAAGGGUUUCUACUCAGAGACAAAGUUGGCCUGGGGAUCCUUUCUGGGGUCAGAGUGGGGUGUGUGGGCACAGGCUCCGUGCCUCCUGCUCACAGCCUCAAAGGGCUCUCAGCACCCCAAGUUGGCUGCAGUGACAGACGUGCCCCUUCUGAGCUCAGCAGGGACCCAUUCCAGCCUCUGGGGGUCACAGCACCAUUAGAACCUGUACCUAUGCUUCCUUGCUCACAGACACCAUAUUCUCAGUUUGAGACCAGCAGGAGGGUGAGGUUUGUGCAGGAGGCUUCUUAGGCAGAAGUCACACUGCUGCAGCUGUGCUCUGAGCUGCCCCAGCCCUGCCCCGUGUCUAGAGUUGUGUUUGCCCUUCAAAUGGCAUUUGCAUGCACAGAGGGGACAGGACCGUUGGAGAUGGGAGGGGAGGAAGCAAUGCACCUGGCUUUCAGUCUGACAGAUCCAGGUUCUGAUCCUGCCUGGUUUCUAAGGGCUGGACCUUGGCCAAGUCUUAUGGGCUUUCUGUAUCCUGAGAAUGGGGAUGAUAUAUAGAUUUCACAGGGUCCCUAGCACAGUGCCUGGCACCUGUGAGCUCCCAAUAAUGGCAUAUGCCAGACUUUGACCUUGUCCAUGCUAAAUCUGUGUGGGGUCUCACCUCAGCUGGGGCACCUUUCCUCCAGCCCACACCAGGUAGAACCAAUGGCCAGGCAUCAAGCCCCCUCCCUCAGAGCAACUGGAGUGAGCAUUCAAUCCUGAUUAGCUCCACCAGGCUCCCUCGUAACCUUUUCAUUAGGAAAUUAUGUUUAAUAGAAAUUGUUCUGACACCUCUCAGCAGCGUUUCCCCAUAAUUUAUUACCGCAGGGAGGGGGCCAGGCAGCUGAGCGCUCUGGGUCCCCAUUCCUUGGGGGAGGGGCCUCUCCUUUCCCCUCCCCAUCCCUGGUCCAUCUCUUGCAGGGUGAGUGGAGGAACAAAGUCAGAGGCGUUUCUGCUUGGUGUCCCCAUGGAAAGCAGCCCAGCUGUUAGAGCACAUUUGGAUGGGCCCAGCCUGCUCUCAGCUCCCUACCCUGGUUCUGACUUGGGACCACCCACUAUUGCCAGGGAUGCUUGUGUGUUGAUCGUACCCCCAGUUUUGUGUUGUCUUCAUACUGUCUCCAGAUGGAGAGGGGAGUGCAGUGUCCCCAGCAGCUGUGGCACAGGAAGUGCCUAGGUGCUUGGGUUCUGCAGCCUCUCUUCUGCUGGAGGCUCUAACUGUGGGCUGUUCCUUGCCUCUGGAAGCCUUACUGGGUGGGUUCCACCUGGGCUGCUCCUGCUGGACUGUCAUCCCUCUGAAGCCAGGCCAGGGGGAGGAGGUGUUCCACCUGCCAGAGUGCCAGGUUUGCAUUCCUCUGCUGGGCUGGACCAGGAAGGCAGAGACUGGAUGGGAUCAUUCUUCUCCAUCUGUCUGGGGCCUUGGGAUUUGCCUCCCAGCACCUCCCCGUCCCUGCUCUGCCUCUGGGCAGUGCUGAUGGACUCAUUGUACCAUCUCUGUCCACCCCUUUCCUCCCUCCAGAUUUUGAUGACUAACUGGAAGAUGUGCGUCUGUGUCUCUCCUGGUGGGUCCCAGGCUGCUGCUCCUCCCAUCUCAGUGCCUUGAGUUUUCUACUCGUGAAGGACCAGGCUCCUCAACCUGUGAGAGAGGAACACGGUGGCCAGAGCAGUGCUUGCUUCCUAGUGCUUUGAGAUCUGGGGCUGGCCCUGACGUCCCUGUGUGACAUUCUUACCCAACUCCUAGUGAGACCCUUUUGCCAUCUUACUACCAGCGUCUGAAAUCAGCAGCAGCCCCAAUCUCUCCCUGCCAUAUCACUCAGUGGUGUAAUUGUGCAGAAAAAAUGUAUUAACAUGCAAAACACCCAGUUGUACUUCUUUAUGUUAAAUCUUUUUUUUGCUCUAUCUCCCUUUUAAUUUUUACAAGCUUUUUUUUUUCUUUCUCCCCCCUCUAAUAAAGAGGAGAGCUGGGCACACAGGGAAUCAUUUCAACUCCCCUAUAAAUCUCCAAAAUGAAUACUUAAAUUCCAGGAAAAAAUACAUUCUUACACCUUUAAUUUCCCUGCUAUGAAGUGUAAUGAAAAAGGCUGAUUAUUUUUAAUUCUUCCCUUUAAUAAUUCAGCGGCGGAGUGAUUUAAGACUAGGAUUCAUAAUUACCUUUCCGCUUUCUUGGUAAAUGGAGUUUUAAUAGAAAUGAGAGCUCUGGUGACCAAAAUGGAUUUCAACAGGUCGCUGGGGGGUCAGGUCCGACAUCGAUUGCCAGAAUGUUGCUAGGGCCCAUGGGAGGUGGGGUCUGGACUGGACACUGGGCCCAGGUGAGUGGAAGGGAAAGUGUAUUGCGUGAACUUGGUGGGAACCGGCUGCUAAAAUAGUAAGGGCAGGUCUCUGUGGGUAUUGAGUGACCUCCUUAUCCUGGAAGGCACAAAUCAGUGGAAAAUGGCCAUCAGAAAAGUCUUGCCUUGUAAUAAUGAAUAAUAACCAUAAUAUUAAGUCUAGGAGUUACCAAGUUAUUAAGCACAGAGUUUUGCUUUAUUAAUUGAGCAAAUACCAUGUGCCAAGCAUAGUGCUAAGUGCUUCAUGGUCAUUCUCUCUCCUGGCCCUCCCAAUAAUCUAUUUCUACCUGCAGGGAAACCAAGGCUCAGAGUGGACGGGACAAGACAAAGCCAAGGCAAAUGGCAGAGCUGAGGUGUGAGCUCAGCUGUGUCCAGCUCUAGAGCCACCACUGCCCUCUGCUGACUAAGAUUCCCAAACCCUUCUCAGAGUUCAUUCCCCAGACACAGCACGUGCCCCCUCGCAGCUCACAGAAACAGGCAGACACAGUGGGCGAUCAAGGUGAUCAUGGGGAGACCUGCGCAGAGCGACCCAGGCUAGGGCAGUCGGGCUUCUGAUCCCUUCUAUCUUGCCACUGCCUGCUAGCUUGAAGGUUCUGGGAUAUCACUUGUCUGAAACUCAGUUUCCUAUCUGUAUAAUAAAAACUGACUUGCCUUGUUCAGAUGGCUGUAAUGAGCUUCAAAUGUGAAAAUGUGGGUGGAAAAUCCUUGUAAAUCCCAAAUCACUCUACCAUUAUUUGAUAGCAGAAGACUUAAAACAUCCCUUUCUGACUUACCCCAUAGCCCUUUUUCCUGCUGCCUACAUGCCCAGACUUCUACCAAACCCUCAAAUUUACCUCCUCUCCCAGGAAGCUUCCUGGAUUGACUCUUUCAAGGCACAUUGUUCCAGCAGCUUCUUCUUUGUAUAUUUCACAAUCACUUUAGCCCUUAAAUUCUUUGGCAGAGCAUAGGUGUGUUUAUCUGUGCCUCCUAUAGACUGUUACACCAUGGGCAGGGCUUUUAUACUCACCCCCUGGAAAUCUCAGACCUCUGGCUCUACAUUCGGGCUGUGCAGGUUCUCUACCUGCAUGGAGAUGGACAUGAAAACCUAUAGAUAAUCCCAAACCAAGAAAUGGUCGUAUUGGGUAGCUGAGGUGCAAAGGGAAACACCACGAGGUCAUGGGUGUAUAUAUGAGUGCACAUACACACCCUCCUCCACGCCUGCACCUGCUCACCUGAGCUUGUCUGUAGAUGGACACUGCAUCUUACCUUUAUUUUAUAGUUUAUCAAGUGCUUCCCCAAAUGUUAAGCCCCAUGGCUCUCUCAAAAGCUUCUACAAGAGAGGUGGCAAUGGUGGUAGUAGUGGGGGUCAUUGUCCUCUCUCGGAGCAAGAGAGGGUCCAUGUCUUGCCCAACACCCCUGCCAGGCAUGGGGAACCCAGGCCUUUUGUCUCCUAAGCCAUGGCACGCUCUGGACAGAGUGGGAACUCCCAUGGCAGAGGGGGAGCUCUGGAGUACAUACCAGGGAGCAUGUGUGCCCUCACUGAGUGUGAGAGGUGACAGAGGGCUCAGGAUGCCCAGAGGUGUGGGCCUGGAACAGAGCCCUGCCUGAGUUUAGCAGGAGUCCAAGGGAGCCAGGCCUCCUGCCCGUGGGGUCACCAUGUCCCUGGGGGCCUGAGUAAGAAAGGAGGGGCUGGAGCCAGAGGAGGGGGUCCUGAGGACCUCUGC
Long non-coding RNA from Fukomys damarensis (Damara mole-rat), 12306 nucleotides. RefSeq lists it as uncharacterized. The record is from RefSeq and is a predicted model, not a curated record. The transcript has 5 exons. NCBI's taxonomy places the organism in Eukaryota, Metazoa, Chordata, Mammalia, Rodentia, Bathyergidae.